This 756-nucleotide ribosomal RNA is filed under the name uncultured bacterium. Its description in RNAcentral is "bacterial SSU rRNA". It matches the Rfam family "Bacterial small subunit ribosomal RNA", at positions 99 to 873 of the family's 1533-position model. The record is from RNAcentral.
CGGACGGGUGAGUAACGCGUGGAUAACCUGCCUCAUACAGGGGGAUAACAGUUAGAAAUGACUGCUAAUACCGCAUAAGCACCCGGGAGCGCAUGCUCCUGAGUGAAAAGCUCCGGCGGUAUGAGAUGGAUCCGCGUCUGAUUAGCUGGUUGGCGGGGUAACGGCCCACCAAGGCGACGAUCAGUAGCCGACCUGAGAGGGUGGCCGGCCACAUUGGGACUGAGACACGGCCCAAACUCCUACGGGAGGCAGCAGUGGGGAAUAUUGCACAAUGGGGGAAACCCUGAUGCAGCAACGCCGCGUGGGUGAAGAAGUAUUUCGGUAUGUAAAGCCCUAUCAGCAGGGAAGAGAAUGACGGUACCUGACUAAGAAGCCCCGGCUAACUACGUGCCAGCAGCCGCGGUAAUACGUAGGGGGCAAGCGUUAUCCGGAUUUACUGGGUGUAAAGGGAGCGUAGACGGUUGUGCAAGUCUGAAGUGAAAGCCCGCGGCUCAACUGCGGAACGGCUUUGGAAACUGUGUAACUGGAGUGCUGGAGAGGUAAGCGGAAUUCCUGGUGUAGCGGUGAAAUGCGUAGAGAUCAGGAGGAACACCGGCGGCGAAGGCGGCUUACUGGACAGUAACUGACGUUGAGGCUCGAAAGCGUGGGGAGCAAACAGGAUUAGAUACCCUGGUAGUCCACGCGGUAAACGAUGAAUGCUAGGUGUUGGUGGGCAGAGCCCAUCGGUGCCGUCGCAAACGCAGUAAGCAUUCCACC